AGUAGUUUGAUCCUGGCUCAGGACGAACGCUGGCGGCGUGCUUAACACAUGCAAGUCGAACGGUAAGGCCCCAGCUUGCUGGGGUACACGAGUGGCGAACGGGUGAGUAACACGUGGGUGACCUGCCCCGCACUUCGGGAUAAGCCUGGGAAACUGGGUCUAAUACCGGAUAGGACCGCACCGUGAGGGUGUGGUGGAAAGUUUUUCGGUGUGGGAUGGGCCCGCGGCCUAUCAGCUUGUUGGUGGGGUAAUGGCCUACCAAGGCGGCGACGGGUAGCCGGCCUGAGAGGGUGGACGGCCACAUUGGGACUGAGACACGGCCCAGACUCCUACGGGAGGCAGCAGUGGGGAAUAUUGCACAAUGGGCGGAAGCCUGAUGCAGCGACGCCGCGUGGGGGAUGACGGCCUUCGGGUUGUAAACUCCUUUCACCAUCGACGAAGGUUUUCUGACGGUAGAUGGAGAAGAAGCACCGGCUAACUACGUG
RNAcentral lists this ribosomal RNA (485 nucleotides) under uncultured Corynebacterium sp. RNAcentral describes it as "bacterial SSU rRNA". It matches the Rfam family "Bacterial small subunit ribosomal RNA", at positions 1 to 507 of the family's 1533-position model. The record is from RNAcentral. Lineage: Bacteria; Bacillati; Actinomycetota; Actinomycetes; Mycobacteriales; Corynebacteriaceae.